This 303-nucleotide ribosomal RNA is filed under the name Triticum aestivum (bread wheat). RNAcentral's name for it is "partial small subunit ribosomal RNA". Lineage: Eukaryota; Viridiplantae; Streptophyta; Magnoliopsida; Poales; Poaceae. The record is from RNAcentral.
AUGGUCCUGCAAUGGCUCAUCAACAGUGUCAUCAUUCCAUUUCGGGACUGGCUGGGUGCCAGUCGACUGAAUUCUCCGAUUUGGGUCAGUCGACUGCUCUCCACCCUCCAUCUCCAAUCUAAUGGCUGUCAGGUCGUCUUCAACCUCCCGGCGAAUCUUCUUCCAACUGCCCCACGGGCCAACGGCCGAACCGCCGGCCACCACCGCCCGCGGCCGGCGGCACUACCGCGCAGCCUUGCCGCCCCGCCCUCCCAGGGACCUCCUCCCACCGCCGUGCUGCCACCGCCCCGGCCAUCCCUCUAG